Molecule: long non-coding RNA, 6945 nt
Filed under: Homo sapiens (human)
Lineage: Eukaryota; Metazoa; Chordata; Mammalia; Primates; Hominidae
Description: HSALNT0291351
Source: RNAcentral
AGUAAGUCUCAUGAGAUCUGAUGGUUUUAAAAAGCAAAGUUUCCCUGCACAAGCUGUCUUCUCUCGUCUGCCACCAUGUGAGAUGGGUCUUUCACCUUCUGCCAUGAUUGUGAGGCCUCCCCAGCCACAUGGAACCAUAUCCCACAGACCCAGCACCAUUUAUUGAGAAGACAAUCUCUUUCCCCUGCACUUCAGUCAUUCCAUUAAAAAAAACUGACUAUCAUUUUGAAUGAUAGCUAAGAACUACUCCACCUGGCCCAGAUUCUUUGGCGUGUGUCUCUGCUCAGCUCCGAUGAAUGCAGGAAUCCCUAAUCAGAUGACUGCAAUCACAAGACUCCCCUCCAGCAGGCUGGAAUGAGGCUGUGAGGCUCCAGCAGCCGUUUUGUGCCACGAGGCAGUAGAAACCUGGGUUCCUGAUGACUGUGGAGCUGCCGAACUAAUCUGGACCUCCAGAUUCCAUACCUGCAAGACACAUGAACAUCUGUCUUAUCCAUCCCUGGAGAGGAUCCCUGGAGAGGAGCAAACCCAGGCCAUCCGGAUUUUCUGCAUGGGAGACCUGGCUGACCGCUGCCUGGGCUGCUUUCAAGUCUCACCGAAUUAUGAAGUCAACUACUGGGUGUUUAGAAUGUCUCAAGUUCAAAGACUAGCAGGCUAGAAGCAGACAUCUGAGAGAACUUCGGGCACCUUAGCAGGAGGAAUAUUAAGAUGUGGCAUGCUGGGCUUAUCGGGAGACUGGAUAGGGAUCAGAAGGAAUACAUUUCUAUUCUGCGAGCUGCAGAGCUCAGGAGUCGUUCUGAUAUCAGGCCCAUUGGUGGGUUUAGCUUUGGUGCAAGUUUCUUGGCCAUGGAGCUUAACUAGGAGGAAGUGAAUUGCAAUCAUUUUGGCCUGUGCUCCUUAGAGUCCCAGGGAUCAAUGGGAGACGAGUGACUGGGUGGGCGGGUAGAGCAAGGAGAACAGGGUGCAGGAGACACUGCCACUUAUUUAUUUGUUUUUCCUACAAAUAUUUAUUGAGCCUCUAAGUAUGUACCAGGCACAUUCCAGAAGAGGGACUCAGAGGUCGUUGGAAGUGUAUGCCAGGAACCACUGAGCAAGGCCCUUGUCUCUCUUUGUGGGCCUUCUUCAGACACUUCCCCCUCAUACACGGGAUCUGGGAUCAUUAAACAUCUCAUUGUCCUUUGGAUUCACCAGCUUUUGAAAGUGCUGCUCCUGCUGGAAAAGCCCUCGCUUCCACUCUUCACCUAGAAAACUUCUAUUCAUUCAUUAAGGCCUGACGUCACGUUUUCUGGGAAGUCUUCCUUGCUUAUCCCCUGACAAAUUUGAUUUUUUGUCAAAUUUGUAUUAUUUAUAUCUUUGUGUUAUUAAAUUUCCAUCACAUUUCAGAGUUUCUGAGUGUUUAAAUAACUUAACCUAAGUUCACACAGCUAGUUAGAGUCUCAGCUAGGAUUUGAACUUGGAACUUCCUGACACCAAAGCCAAUACACUUAACCACUAGAUCGCAUGGCCACUGAAGUUAGUGGUUCCUUCUCUAGGCUCCCAGGGCCCCAGAGUUUUGUCAUGGAACUCAUCAUUGUUGAUUGUCAUUAUUCAUUUGCUGGUGAGAUUUCCAGGGGUACGGGCUAUAUGGAGUCACUAUGAUGACUCAACAUAGAAUCGACAGCCCAGAUGCUGGUGGGAUGAUAAGAAAGGCUAUUAAUGUGCCCAGUACUGGGCUAACCUCUCCAUAUUCAUUGUAUCAUUGAUUACUCAUGACAAUCCAUGAGACAGUCAUUACUAUUCUUCCCAUGUCAUAUUUGGAACAACUGAGGCUUAGAGAGCUGAAACAAUAUGUCCAACUCCCACAGCUAGAAGAGGCAGACCUGGGGUUCAAACUCAGGUCUGGCUUAUUCCAGAGCCCAUGCUUUUAACUGCUAUAUCACACUCCUUCUCCUCGACGUGUUCUCUGAAACCCUGUAGUGGUGCUGGGGUACAGAGACAAGUGUCACCAAGCUCCUACCUUCAAGGAGCUCACAGUCAAGUGGAGAAGUCAGGCAUCCCGGCAUCCCAGGCAUCCCUGAUUAUCCUGGUAUGAACAGAUAAUCACAACACAAGCUAUAAAUGCAGGUAGCCUGGAGAAAGGAGUAAAUAAUUAGUCAAACAGAGGGAGUGCUAGGGAAAGAUUUCAAAGCAGUGGGGAUACCUGAACAGGGUUUUGAAAGUUAAAUAAGAGUCUUCCAGGAGACAAGGAGGUAGAAGGACACCAGACAUACAGAGCAGCAUACACGAAGGGAGGGAGGGAAGGAGAGAGAGAGAGAGAGCUGCUGGGUGGUAGGGAAACUCCAAGUGAUUAGAAAUUUCACCCUUCCUGUCUCUCCUUCCGCAGCUGACUCUGCUAGGAAAUGUGGAAAGCUGCAGCUGCAGACAGCUGGCUGUGCCUGCUUCACUGGAGUUCUCAGCUCUCUUACACCUGUCUGUUUAGAAAGGAGCAGACAGGCUGUGAAGCUCUGCAGGAUUCUUUUCAGUGCUGGGGCAGAAGGAGAAAUGGUGGGGACAGCCACUCUGGGCAUCAGAACCGAAUACCUGCUCCCCACUCCUCUCAGUUGCACAGCCCAGCUCCUGGCUUCACUGCAGUGGGAAGGGAGAUGAAGGACUCUUGAACUCAGAAUAUGACUGACCAAGACCCUUACAGCUGGGGUGGAGGUAGGGGGCUGAAGGCAGGUUCUGGAGGUGGAGAUUGAGUCUUCCAGUUGUUUUCCUGGCAACAGCGGGAACAAUAGAUUCUAGGUUCUGGCUGGCUCAGGAGUUGGGGUGUCUGACCUGUCUUUCCUCAGUCCCUUCUGCUAUAGAUACUGAUAGUCCUCUGCCACCAGGCUCUGCCUACCAAGUCCCUGAGCUCUUCCUGACCUAGCCUGGCUCUGAGAGGGGAGCCAGCAUGGCAGAGGGUGGGCCUGGUACCAGUUGUGUCUCCCUGAAUACAGGAUCUGAGAGCUGGGGAGCUAUGGACACCCAGAGCCCAUCAGCCUGGUCUCUCCCCUCACUGUAGGUUCCCAGGCCAGUGGCUGGUUCCUGAUUUUACCUAGUCUUCUGCACUGGGAUAAGAACCUGACAUCCAGCUUCCCCUUUGGGAGUAAGGCCUCUUCCACGGGCUGCUCCUGGUCUGUGUUUUCCACUGCAGUCUGGGAGCCUACUUCCCCCAUGAAGGCCCUAACCCCACCCAUGAAGACACUACAUGAAUUACUGUCCAGACUGGACUCCAGAUGCAGCCUCGGAUUAGACCCAAUUUGGCCUCAUCUCCUUGGAGCUGUCUAGUAAUUUGGAAUACACGCUGCUCCCUACUUAGCCACCUGCAAAGCAGGGUCCAUCUCCCAGCCUGGUUCUGCCUUUUCCUCAGUCUUAUAUGUGUGUGUCUGAGUACAUGUGUCAGUCAGUGAUCAUGCCAGGACGGCCAGCUGGACUUGUGUCAGCAUGCACAUAUGUUCCUUGAGGCUGUCCCGUGCAGGCGUGCACUGAGUUCUCAGCCCAGUUCUGAAGCGUGUUUGUGAAUAUGCCCAGAUACAUCAUGAACAUUGCUGGGAUGCUAGGAGGGGGAUCAGUAUGAAUGACAUUGCAUGUCCUCAAGUACACAGGUAUGUGUCUACGCACACGCACAAACCUCUCUAAUAUGUAUGUAUGCACGUGUACAUGUGUAUAAUAUGGCUAAGUGUGUGUCUGGGAGUAUUUGACCAUGUCUGAUGUGAAUCUUCUGCCCAUUCUGAAAGGAAAGGGGACAUGGGCCCACUCUCCCUUUUUGUAGUUACACUGUGGUCAGGGCUGGCUUGUGACAGAGGGAGUCAAGGUGAGUGCCCCUCUGAACUUCUGGGAUCUUUCUGCCUAACAUUCUGAGACUUCCCCAGCUGUUCCCUAGUCCUGCAGCCUUGGCUGUCAGUACUUCAAGAUUAUCUGGCCAGGCGUGGUGGCUCAUGCCUGUAAUCCCAGCAUUUUGGGAGGCCGAGGCGGGCAGAUCAUUUGAAGUCAGGAGUUUGAGACCAGGCCAACAUGGUGAGACCCCAUCUCUACUAAAAAUAAAAAAAUUAGCCAGGUGUACUGGCACGUGCCUGUAAUCCCAGCUACUUGGGAGGCUGAGGCAGGAGAAUCACUUGAAUCCAGGAGACAGAGGCUGAAGUGAGUCGAGAUUGCACCACUGCACUCCAGCCUGGGUGACAGAGUGACACUUGGUCUCAAAAACAAACGAACAAACAACAAACAAACAAAAAAAAAAAAAAAAAAAGAAAAGAAAAAGAUUAUCUGGUGCCUUGGCCCAGUCCCCACCCUUCACUUUGGAAAGGGUGUACCUGCAAAAGGUACAAGAGGAAGUCCACACCCCCACAUUUAGUCUGGCAAUGAUGCCAACUAUUCAGGACUCGCCUACUGUGGCCUGUGUAGGUCCUCCUCCUCUCCUGCUCAUGUCCAGGCCAUUGUCUUUAGUGGGACAGGGGGGCCUGAGGGAGGAGCUUCUGACCUGGCUGUUCUGGAGGCCUGGGCUUGCCAGAGGCCUUCAGCUUUGGCAGAGGACUCCGGGCUGUUUGGAGGCACUCCCAAGGCCCCUGUGCUGUGUCAGGGGCAGGAGGUGAUGGUGGGGGGUGGGUAGUACGUCCAGAGCUUCCCCUUCCCAACAAAUCUGUGGAUGGGCAGGGGGUACACUCAUGGGGAAAUUACCAAUUUAAAUAGGAAAUGCAAGCAAUUUGGAUAGAACCCCAGGACUGCAGUUUGAGAGCUCAUUCUCUGCCCCGUGGGGGUUUGAUUACAACCAACUUGGCUGAUAACGUGCAGAGAGGGCCAGAAAAAUGGUUUCCAAGGAAACUCAGAUCUUUCUAAGCCCCUUCUGGCUCAGGUGGGAGCCAGGGCUGGCCGGGAAAGCAGAGGCUGUGCUGAGUACCAUGGUGCUCAAUUCCCGGUGAGCCCUCUGCCCACUCUCUGCCUGCUUCUGUGCUUAUCCCUGCUUCCCCAAACCUGGCCUGCACUUUCAUUCCUGUUUACAACAGUUGUUUCUCUCUUUGUCUCUGCUCCCUUUGUCUUCUUAUUUAUCUCAGCUGAUGUCUGCACUUGGGAAAGUUGGCAAACAUUAAAAAAAAAAAUUCUAAUUUUUUUCUUAUUAAUGGCGACUAUUCAUUCAACACCUACUCUGUUCCAGAAAUGCCACAGGAUUUAGUUCUAUUAUUUCCAUUUUCACAGCAACCAUAUGGUAGACAGGAUACUAUGUGUUCAUCAAAUCUUUUUUCUUCCUGGAACUACAUUUCCCAGCAUGCCUUGCUGUAAGGUUGAAUCAUGUGACUGAGUGCUGGUCAAUGGAAUGUGGGUAGGAGUAAUAUAUGCCACUUUUGUGGCUGCCCGGCCCCCCCUAAAUAUCACGAACAAUCUUCUACACAUACUCAUUUACUCUUUUUUUUUUUGUAGGCCGUGGAAACAGAAAUCUAGUGGAGGAUUCUGAUCCCUAGGGAAUGUAGGGCCACUGGACCCAAUUGCCCUAUAAUCUUGUGUGGUAUUUCCCUGCCCCUGCUCAACUUCAUUGGAUGGUAAUGUUACAUUUGUUAAGCCACUAAGGUUUUGGGGGUUGUUUAUUAGGCAGUUGUCUAGCCUGAUAACACAAGCCUGAAAGAAGGGCAUUCUUAUCCCUAUUUUUCCCUGGGGGAAAUGGGCUCAGAGAUACUAAGUAACUUGCUAAAGUCACACAGCAAGUAAGUGGCAAAUCCAGAUUUGAGCUCAGGUUAUGUCUUUUCCACUAACCCAGGCUAACAGGAUGAUUGUUCCUGCUUAGGUAUUGCCUUGGUCUUUGUUUCUUGAGGAGUCACAGAAAGAAAGACACAGACCAGGACUGGGAGGUAGGGAAGGAGGGAGCAGCUGGGGGGCAGGUGUGUAGUGGUGCAUCAUAGCAGCAAAGGGAGGUAAAGGUUCUAGGAAGGGGUGGUCAAUUGUGUCUAAUGAGAUCCAGCCAGGUGGAGGAGGAAGAGGGCUGGGAAGAGCCCAUUAAAUUUAAUGACCUCAGUGACAGUUUUAUCUGAGUGAUGGGGCAGAUGCCAGCUUGCAGAAGGUUUGGGAACAAGUCAGUGAUUAUGUUGGUUAAGGGAAGGAGAGAGGAAAAAAAGAGAGAUAGCUUUAAGUGGAAGCCAGGCCAAAGGAAAGCAUUUUGAGAAGGAAAUCAGUGGUUAGGGAGAGGUUAAAAAUAAGAAAGGGAAUCAUGACCUACAUAAUGCAAGGCAUCUGAAUGUGAUGAUUUCCUCCUUUAGGCUUGGUUCUGGUGUGCAUUUCCAGGGCUAAGCUGACUGGCCAGGAAGCAGGGAGCAAAGGGGGUUGGACACAGCCAGCAAAUCACGCAGCAUUAACUGGGCUGCGAGGCCGGAUCCUGAGUGGGCAAGCAGGUGGCAGCUGAAGUAUUGUGAAUCGAGAGCCUGAAAUUCUUCAGGAUCUUCUAAGAUUAUCCAUUUGAUUGGGUCAUGGAAUUAAUGUGGAUAAGCCUAGUUGAUCAACCUGAGUAGAGGGUGCUGUCACCUGCACAACACCUACCACAACUUCCUAGAACCUAGUGGCCGAGCUUGUUAAGUGUCCCCAAAUGCCCAUUCUCUCCUUCCUUUUAGUCAAGGAGCCAUGAAUUUUAGGGAAGAACAUGAUCAUUUAGCUCAGGACCACAGUUCCCAGACUCCCUGCAGCUGGAUGUGGAUGUCUACUCAGUUCUUGCUAAAACGAUGUGUGCAAUUUCCAGAGCACAUCCUUAUAUGGAAGUUAUUUGCAGUGAACAUUGUCUGUUUCCUCCUUUCAAUGAGGUGGAACUGGAAGUGCUGGAGAUGAGCUGCUGUGGCUGUAUGGACAAAGGCAAGAUCCUAUGGGAUGGCCAAGCAACCAGACAGAAGAACUCUUGAGACCUUGAGGAAAAGAACUGCCCGCAACUGCUCUUGACACUCUCUCCCUCUGGCCUGUUGUGUGGGAGAGAAAUAA